UAUGUCAGUCCCAAAAACUACGAAGUCACCAAACCAAGGGCCUGUUAGUGGAUACUCUGAUACAAGGUGGACUCCACCCCGAAAAACUUCAAAAAAAUCUCCACCAAGAUCCCAAGCGGCUAAUGGUAGGAAUCAAGACUUUGUGGGGCCUCAAAAUUUGCACCUCUAAUGAAUAUUAAUGUUGGAGAUGUUGGAGAUACCCAGUUAAUGGACUUUCAGUAGACAUCCGGAGACAAGGCUGAAUUGGUUGGGCCAUCUCAUAUUAAGGAGAAGAGGAAGAGAUCCCCACCUAAGCUAGUGACACAGUGGAAAUCACCAGGUUCUGAUUCACCACCUCAAUCCGAAGUCCUUGUGGUAGAAGAGGAGCAAAAUGAAACAAAGGGGAACAGUGGGCAGUCUGAGUCUUCCUCAAAUAAACAUAAGUCAGCAAUCACCAAAGUUUGGAAGCCAGUGGGAGGAGUCACGGGGACUUCUCUAACAAUGGGAAUGGAGGAUCACAAUACUCAAUUGGUGUCAUACUCGGAGGAUCGACGACCUCAAGAUCUCCAAUCAGGUGCUUUAUUGGUCUUCCAAACCUUUACAUCUUUUGAAUAUUCUGCGACUGAUUGGAAGGGAUGAUUGUUAUGGAGCCUUGUGGAGCAGGCAUUUUAGCAAAUAGAAAAGCACAUUACAGGGGAGUAUGGCUAUCUGGAAAGCUGCUAUCUUCCUACUUGUCUCAAAUUACUUACGCUUGGUUUGGUCUGUAUUAAAAUAUUUCUAUCGGUGUGUGGACAUGUAAGCUGGAGAUGACACUGUCUAUUUUGGAUCUCUGUACUUUGUUUCUUAUUUAAUGCUUUUCUACCAAAAAAAAAAAAAAAAAGGCAAAA
Molecule: long non-coding RNA, 866 nt
Organism: Elaeis guineensis (African oil palm)
Lineage: Eukaryota; Viridiplantae; Streptophyta; Magnoliopsida; Arecales; Arecaceae
Source: RefSeq, a predicted model, not a curated record